Molecule: non-coding RNA, 24 nt
Filed under: Arabidopsis thaliana (thale cress)
Lineage: Eukaryota; Viridiplantae; Streptophyta; Magnoliopsida; Brassicales; Brassicaceae
Source: RNAcentral
GGGUGUGAAUGGUUACGGCGGUUG